UGAGUAACCUGCCCUUAACUCUGGGAUAAGCCUGGGAAACUGGGUCUAAUACCGGAUAUGACUCCUCAUCGCAUGGGUGGGGGGUGGAAAGCUUUAUUGUGGUUUUGGAUGGACUCGCGGCCUAUCAGCUUGUUGGUGAGGUAAUGGCUCACCAAGGCGACGACAGGUAGCCGGCCUGAGAGGGUGACCGGCCACACUGGGACUGAGACACGGCCCAGACUCCACGGGAGCAG
Molecule: ribosomal RNA, 233 nt
Filed under: uncultured bacterium
Lineage: Bacteria
Description: partial 16S ribosomal RNA
Rfam family: Bacterial small subunit ribosomal RNA
Source: RNAcentral